Non-coding RNA from Oryctolagus cuniculus (rabbit), 2169 nucleotides. The record is from RefSeq and is a predicted model, not a curated record. Lineage: Eukaryota; Metazoa; Chordata; Mammalia; Lagomorpha; Leporidae.
AAUAAAUCUUAAAAAAAAAAGAAGAAAAGAAGGAAGGGAACAUAAAGAGGUAGGGGGAGAGAGGCUGCCUCCCUUGCAUGGAGGUUUCGGUCUGGGCACCAGGGUUUAAGAAAGGCAUUAGUAAAGCAGAUUUCAUCUGUUGAAGCUCAGCGGUAUGUAUCCACGCCAUCAUUUGGAAGACGGUCUAGAUGACAUACACUCGGGCUUCCAUCUCUUCUGUUAGGUAAGGCUGUCUCCAUGGGUCACAGUCUUGUUGCCAGGCAACUUCUUCCUUCAGAGUGAGAACUCUCCCAAGAGGACCCUCCAUCCGUAUGCAAACAAGCUGCUGGCAGCUGCUGCCACCAAUUCCACAGACAUGCCCAGGCACGACUGAAUCUCUCCUAGCUAAGCUGAAGGUCCCCAUUACCGUAAUUGAAAGGAGCAAAUGUUAUUCUUUCUAUUUUUCCUUUAGUGAGCUUUUUCCUUUGAUGAUAUAUUAGGUGUACAAUGAAAGAACAAUAUUAUACUACCAUAAUCCAUCUUCAUUAAGAAAACCAUCCAUCUUAUGCUUCUAUAAAUAUAUUCUUUUGCCAUUCAUCUUGAGUAAGAGGAGUACAGAGAAGAAUCUUGAACAAAUUAAGCUGUUUUGUUCUGUGGAGCCUUAUAAUUGUCCCUGUCGACAGUUGAACCUACAGCAGUAGCUCUAAGCAAUAUUUAUUAAGGACUGUCUAAGUUCCAGGCACUGUGCUAAGCAUUAAGGCUAAAGGAGAAUCCAGCAUAAUCCCCAACGUCUCACAACCAGCUGGAAGUCAGCUGCAAACCUAAGCAUAAUAUAAUGUGGUAUGUGCUGCAGUAGAUAAGUUGACCCAAUCUUUAGAGUUGCCCUGAUUUAUACAGAAAAUAUAUCAAGCUGCCCUCUGAUCUUCAACUUUGAAAUCUAAGAUUUUCAUUCACGGUGGUCAGGCUUAUCUGAUUAUCUGUAGCAGUGGCUAUAUGUUGAUAGCCACACAAGUUACUUUCUCCUACUUUGGAAUAAAAUUUCCUAUUUGUCAAAAUAUGCGUCAAUACCUGGGUGACCAGAACUGUCCAGCAGUACUUACUCUGCAAACCACAGUGCUCCAGAGGUAAAACAGCCACACCUGAGGCAUCCACACACAUUGGCAAGCUAGCAAGUCCAGUCCUCCCUGACAAGCAAGGUUUGCCACUUCCUGUGAAGGCUGACUUGAGAUUAAAACUCAAUUUCCUGGAAGACUGAUGGGGCACAUCUCAACACGGUUCCUCAGAUGUUAAGUGACAAAUGAUCUGUAGCAUUUCCAGCAAUUUCAGGCAUGAGAGACACAGUAAAGGAGCGUGAAUUUUCGGAGUGCCAAGGGGUAACUCCUGCUGUGGAAGGUGGCCCAGGUGCAGAAAGGCAACAUCUCAGACAUCCUCAAAGAGCUGACCCGGUGCCGGGCCCAGGUCCAGCACAGCAGAGAGCCAUGGUGGGAUGCUACCAAUAAAAAGGUGAGCCUCAGUGGAGAUUGGAAUCUUUCUGGGAAGCCUACUGUGUAAGGAAGAACCAUUCAGUGUUGGAAGGAGCCUGGUUACAGGGAAUCGGAGAGCCUGUAACAAGUGGUUCUCGCACAGUGUUUUCUCUGUCUGUCUUCAUGGCGGAGAAAGCCAGGGAUCCAAGGGGAAGGAGCUCUGCUGUCUUAUUAGCUGCACAAGUAUGUGCCAAGGAGGAAUCCCCUUCCUCUAAAGAAGAAGGGAAGUUUGCAUGAAGCUUAGCUGCACGAAAUCGGAAGGGUUCCAGAUAACUCUCCUUGCAUGAAGCCGUCAGACCCCAGAAAAGCUGUCUAAAGAUCUCACUUCAAGAGCAGGGCUCAAGUGUUUCAUGGGUCUUGGAGGAUGGAAAUCUCUGUGGCUGAUGGAAUGGAACCAGUACUACAAGGAAAUUCAGCACCCUUGGAAUCUACAAUUAUGCAGCCAAGAGUUUCCUCGCGGGCGUACAUGCAAAGAUCAGCUACAUUGCCUAGCUCAUCAAAACUUUUGGGAUUUCCAAUCUCAUUAUGAUUUUAAAUAAAAGCAAGUGAGCCAAGACAAAAGGGCCAAAGGUCCUGGAAACCUCUCAGUUUAUAAGGACCAAGGCUCAGGGAUUUGGAAGGGAAAGAAGUAUUACUUAAAUACUAUACCUUCCUAAAGGCCAAGGGG